RNAcentral lists this ribosomal RNA (272 nucleotides) under uncultured bacterium. Its description in RNAcentral is "partial 16S ribosomal RNA". It matches the Rfam family "Bacterial small subunit ribosomal RNA", at positions 84 to 354 of the family's 1533-position model. The record is from RNAcentral.
CCCGCCGGCGACCGGCGCACGGGUGAGUAACACGUAUGCAACCUGGCCGCCACAGGGGGAUAACCCGCGGAAACGCGGCCUAAUACCCCGUGACGCCACCGGAGGGCAUCCUCCGGUAGCCAAAGGAGCGAUCCGGUGGCGGAUGGGCAUGCGGCGCAUUAGCUAGACGGCGGGGUGACGGCCCACCGUGGCGACGAUGCGUAGGGGUUUUGAGAGGAAGGCCCCCCACACUGGGACUGAGACACGGCCCAGACUCCUACGGGAGGCAGCAG